UGAUUUUGGUCGCCAACGAGUGGCGGACGGGUGAGUAACACGUAGGUAACCUGCCCAGAAGCGGGGGACAACAUUUGGAAACAGAUGCUAAUACCGCAUAACAGCGUUGUUCGCAUGAACAACGCUUAAAAGAUGGCUUCUCGCUAUCACUUCUGGAUGGACCUGCGGUGCAUUAGCUUGUUGGUGGGGUAACGGCCUACCAAGGCGAUGAUGCAUAGCCGAGUUGAGAGACUGAUCGGCCACAAUGGGACUGAGACACGGCCCAUACUCCUACGGGAGGCAGCAGUAGGGAAUCUUCCACAAUGGGCGCAAGCCUGAUGGAGCAACACCGCGUGAGUGAAGAAGGGUUUCGGCUCGUAAAGCUCUGUUGUUAAAGAAGAACACGUAUGAGAGUAACUGUUCAUACGUUGACGGUAUUUAACCAGAAAGUCACGGCUAACUACGUGCCAGCAGCCGCGGUAAUACGUAGGUGGCAAGCGUUAUCCGGAUUUAUUGGGCGUAAAGAGAGUGCAGGCGGUUUUCUAAGUCUGAUGUGAAAGCCUUCGGCUUAACCGGAGAAGUGCAUCGGAAACUGGAUAACUUGAGUGCAGAAGAGGGUAGUGGAACUCCAUGUGUAGCGGUGGAAUGCGUAGAUAUAUGGAAGAACACCAGUGGCGAAGGCGGCUACCUGGUCUGCAACUGACGCUGAGACUCGAAAGCAUGGGUAGCGAACAGGAUUAGAUACCCUGGUAGUCCAUGCCGUAAACGAUGAGUGCUAGGUGUUGGAGGGUUUCCGCCCUUCAGUGCCGGAGCUAACGCAUUAAGCACUCCGCCUGGGGAGUACGACCGCAAGGUUGAAACUCAAAGGAAUUGACGGGGGCCCGCACAAGCGGUGGAGCAUGUGGUUUAAUUCGAAGCUACGCGAAGAACCUUACCAGGUCUUGACAUCUUGCGCCAACCCUAGAGAUAGGGCGUUUCCUUCGGGAACGCAAUGACAGGUGGUGCAUGGUCGUCGUCAGCUCGUGUCGUGAGAUGUUGGGUUAAGUCCCGCAACGAGCGCAACCCUUGUUACUAGUUGCCAGCAUUAAGUUGGGCACUCUAGUGAGACUGCCGGUGACAAACCGGAGGAAGGUGGGGACGACGUCAGAUCAUCAUGCCCCUUAUGACCUGGGCUACACACGUGCUACAAUGGACGGUACAACGAGUCGCGAACUCGCGAGGGCAAGCAAAUCUCUUAAAACCGUUCUCAGUUCGGACUGCAGGCUGCAACUCGCCUGCACGAAGUCGGAAUCGCUAGUAAUCGCGGAUCAGCAUGCCGCGGUGAAUACGUUCCCGGGCCUUGUACACACCGCCCGUCACACCAUGA
This 1345-nucleotide ribosomal RNA is filed under the name Limosilactobacillus fermentum. RNAcentral's name for it is "bacterial SSU rRNA". It matches the Rfam family "Bacterial small subunit ribosomal RNA", at positions 75 to 1407 of the family's 1533-position model. The record is from RNAcentral. Lineage: Bacteria; Bacillati; Bacillota; Bacilli; Lactobacillales; Lactobacillaceae.